AAGCUGUCGGAGAAGAAGUUUGAGCCUUACCUGGAUUCACUGUUGUGCUGAGUGAGCCCCUACUCGUAGCCUAGUACUCACUCAUGUGUGCUAUGAGCUUUCCUGAGGAUACCCAGCAUCAUGGCAGGACAGGGUGGAAAUGUCUAGAAGGCUCUUCCUGCACUGCAGGCACACGAGGAUGGCUGGGUUUUGCCCGUACUGCUGCAGUCCUUUGCCAGCCUCCCACUUACUGAAAUCUGCAGCGGUGAAGUGUCUCACGACUCUGAAGUUGUCCAUUCCUAGGACAUUCUUGCGGCUUUUCAGCGAGCUCGGAGGAGCACAGAGUUGUCAGCAGGAUAUUACAGUGAUGGAUGAUUUAGAAAACUCCAAGGCUGAUCAGUUUAAUGGAGUCAUGCUAAGGUGCAGCAGGCAUGGGGAGCCUGUACCAUUCCAGCAACAAACAGAAAUUCUCAAAGGACACCAUCACAGAGCUCAGAAUCCACAACCUUAUAGACUGGUACCACUUCCAUCUUUUUCUGUCUCUGAUUCCUGCAAUCAUUAUGUUUAUCCAAAUGGAUUGCCCAAACUGGAAACAAAAAUCAAAAACAAAACCCCCAAGGUGCUCUAGCCCA
This 611-nucleotide long non-coding RNA is filed under the name Calidris pugnax (ruff). RNAcentral describes it as "lncRNA (ENSCPUG00000001488.1)". The record is from RNAcentral. Lineage: Eukaryota; Metazoa; Chordata; Aves; Charadriiformes; Scolopacidae.